This 247-nucleotide ribosomal RNA is filed under the name uncultured bacterium. Its description in RNAcentral is "partial 16S ribosomal RNA". It matches the Rfam family "Bacterial small subunit ribosomal RNA", at positions 86 to 334 of the family's 1533-position model. The record is from RNAcentral.
AGAUGGCGACCGGCGCACGGGUGGGUAACACGUAUCCAACCUGCCGAUAACUCGGGGAUAGCCUUUCGAAAGAAAGAUUAAUACCCGAUGGUAUAAUCAGACCGCAUGGUUUGAUUAUUAAAGAAUUUCGGUUAUCGAUGGGGAUGCGUUCCAUUAGGCAGUUGGUGAGGUAACGGCUCACCAAACCUUCGAUGGAUAGGGGUUCUGAGAGGAAGGUCCCCCACAUUGGAACUGAGACACGGUCCAA